Molecule: non-coding RNA, 81 nt
Organism: Pelobates cultripes (western spadefoot toad)
Lineage: Eukaryota; Metazoa; Chordata; Amphibia; Anura; Pelobatidae
Source: the annotation of a GenBank genome assembly
GUAUGAGUGUGUGUGUGUGUAUAUUAUGCAGAGUGUGUGCAUUAGAUACACACACUCUGCAUUAUAUACACAUACACACUG